RNAcentral lists this ribosomal RNA (253 nucleotides) under uncultured bacterium. Its description in RNAcentral is "partial 16S ribosomal RNA". It matches the Rfam family "Bacterial small subunit ribosomal RNA", at positions 524 to 776 of the family's 1533-position model. The record is from RNAcentral.
UACGUAGGGCGCAAGCGUUAUCCGGAAUUAUUGGGCGUAAAGCGAACGUAGGCGGUUUCUUAAGAUUGGUCUUAAAGACCGGGGCUCAACCCCGGGAAUGGAUCGAUAACUGGGAGACUGGAGGACGUCAGAGGAAAGUGGAAUUCCGAGUGUAGCGGUGAAAUGCGUAGAUAUUCGGAGGAACACCAGUGGCGAAAGCGACUUUCUGGGACGUUCCUGACGCUGAGGUUCGAAAGCUCGGGGAGCAAACAGG